UACGAAGGGGGCUAGCGUUGCUCGGAAUCACUGGGCGUAAAGGGUGCGCAGGUGGCCAAGUGUGUUAGGCGUGAAAGCCCGGGGCUUAACCCCGGAAUUGCACCUAAAACUACUUGGCUAGAGCAUUGGAGAGGGGAGCAGAAUUCAUGGUGUAGCAGUGAAAUGCGUAGAUAUCAUGAGGAAUACCAGAGGCGAAGGCGGCUCCCUGGACAAUAGCUGACACUCAGGCACGAAAGCGUGGGGAGCAAAAGGG
This 253-nucleotide ribosomal RNA is filed under the name uncultured bacterium. RNAcentral's name for it is "partial 16S ribosomal RNA". It matches the Rfam family "Bacterial small subunit ribosomal RNA", at positions 524 to 776 of the family's 1533-position model. The record is from RNAcentral.